Molecule: ribosomal RNA, 495 nt
Filed under: uncultured bacterium
Lineage: Bacteria
Description: partial 16S ribosomal RNA
Rfam family: Bacterial small subunit ribosomal RNA
Source: RNAcentral
GACGAACGCUGGCGGCGUGCCUAAUACAUGCAAGUAGAACGCUGAAGGAGGAGCUUGCUUCUCUGGAUGAGUUGCGAACGGGUGAGUAACGCGUAGGUAACCUGCCUGGUAGCGGGGGAUAACUAUAGGAAACGAUAGCUAAUACCGCAUAAUAGCAGUUGUUGCAUGACAACUGUUUGAAAGGUGCAAUUGCACCACUACCAGAUGGACCUGCGUUGUAUUAGCUAGUUGGUGGGGUAACGGCUCACCAAGGCGACGAUACAUAGCCGACCUGAGAGGGUGAUCGGCCACACUGGGACUGAGACACGGCCCAGACUCCUACGGGAGGCAGCAGUAGGGAAUCUUCGGCAAUGGACGGAAGUCUGACCGAGCAACGCCGCGUGAGUGAAGAAGGGUUUCGGAUCGUAAAGCUCUGUUGUAAGAGAAGAACGAGUGUGAGAGUGGAAAGUUCACACUGUGACGGUAUCUUACCAGAAAGGGACGGCUAACUACGUG